UCGAUCUCAUAUUCUCUGUUGGUAUUCUCCUCCGUCGAGAUCUAAUCAAGCCUUCGUCUAGAUUCAUGGAUUCAUCGUUGCUUCCGAUGAGACGACGACGCGACGAGAUUGAGUGAUGACGACGGUGAUGCGACGACGACGAAGACGCAAUCGAGCAAUGACAACGAGAAUGAGAUUGGACAACGGCGGAAGUGAGGUCCUCGAAUCGUUACGAGAACGGCGACGGUAUUCACAGGACCAGUGAUGAAUUGGAAGAAGAAGUGGGGUCACGUCUCUCCUUCCUCCAAGAAGAAAAACACCUCCUCCUCUGUUGUUAACGGUGGUGGUUCGGCUUCCGAGGGAUCGCAUUUGUUGUUCUUUAAGUGGGCACCGUUGUCUCAGGGCGGCAACAGUGGUAACGAAGAUGGUAAAAGCGAGAUUAAUUCUCCUAGCGAUGAGCCUGUGACGGAGACGACGGCAAGGCAGAAGAACCUCCCUGGCGGAGAUUCAAAUACGUGCCGGUUAGUCUUUUUCUUUUAAAAUGGCAGAACUUAUGUUUCGUAAGAUGUUUGGAAAACUCUGGAAGGUACUUUCACAUUAUCAGGAAGACUUGACUGUGUUGAUCUUCUUAUAAAGUCUGUAACCAUCCAUUGCAAAAGCAAUAAUCAGUUUGAGAGAAGCAGAGACUUCUGUCCAUCAGCUCCUGAAGCUGAUCACCACACCAUCUCAUGAAAGAGUAUACACAAAAACCUAACGAGCAAGUCUCUGAAGAGGGAUCAAUCAGAAGAUGCAGGGCAACAGUUAUCAUCACAUGCUUAAAUACCUUGUUUGGCUUCAUCAACGCCUAUCUGUCUUUCCUUUACCUCUCUUCCUGAGAACAAGUGCUUAGGUCGCAGAGUUGGUAUAACUCUAUCAGCUUCACCACAUCGUGCAUUCUUGUCUCUCUUUUUGUGUAAGAGCUUAUAAAACCUUGUCUCAACCAUCUAUAAGGUUUAUAAAACACAUAUAAAUAUUUUGUAAGAGCUU
Raphanus sativus (radish) is the source of this 1005-nucleotide RNA transcript. RefSeq lists it as uncharacterized. The record is from RefSeq and is a predicted model, not a curated record. NCBI's taxonomy places the organism in Eukaryota, Viridiplantae, Streptophyta, Magnoliopsida, Brassicales, Brassicaceae. The transcript has 2 exons.